UGGCAGCGGCGGACGGGUGAGUAACGCGUAGGAAUGUGUCCAGAGGUGGGGGACAACCCCGGGAAACUGGGGCUAAUACCGCAUAUGUCCUGAGGGACAAAGCAGUAAUGCGCCUUUGGAGCAGCCUGCGUCCGAUUAGGUAGUUGGUGGGGUAAUGGCCUACCAAGCCUGCGAUCGGUAGCUGGUCUGAGAGGAUGAUCAGCCACACUGGGACUGAGACACGGCCCAGACUCCUACGGGAGGCAGCAGUGGGGAAUAUUGGACAAUGGGGGCAACCCUGAUCCAGCAAUGCCGCGUGUGUGAAGAAGGUCUUCGGAUCGUAAAGCACUUUCGACGGGGACGAUGAUGACGGUACCCGUAGAAGAAGCCCCGGCUAACUUCGUGCCAGCAGCCGCGGUAAUACGAAGGGGGCUAGCGUUGCUCGGAAUUACUGGGCGUAAAGGGCGCGUAGGCGGCUCUGUUAGUCAGGCGUGAAAUUCCUGGGCUUAACCUGGGGACUGCGCUUGAUACUGCGGAGC
This 518-nucleotide ribosomal RNA is filed under the name uncultured Roseomonas sp. RNAcentral describes it as "bacterial SSU rRNA". It matches the Rfam family "Bacterial small subunit ribosomal RNA", at positions 90 to 641 of the family's 1533-position model. The record is from RNAcentral. Lineage: Bacteria; Pseudomonadati; Pseudomonadota; Alphaproteobacteria; Acetobacterales; Roseomonadaceae.